AGUGGAACCACAUGCGAUGCCUUCCCAACUGUGGCAGCAGUCAGAUGAAGGUGUCCAGGAAUCUAGCAGUUUUGAAGGGUCAGAGAUGAUCCUGCUCUUGAAUUCUAGUAAUGCUUCUUUGUCCACCACGUGACAUGGCUCCGAAAUUGAGCAUUUUGAAGAGAGGCAUGUGCCUCUAACGGCAACUUGGAUUUUCCCUGACUUGGCUCUUUGGAAGCAAGUGCCUUUAGUUCAACAAAAAGAA
Molecule: small RNA, 244 nt
Filed under: Vigna angularis var. angularis
Lineage: Eukaryota; Viridiplantae; Streptophyta; Magnoliopsida; Fabales; Fabaceae
Description: Non-protein coding transcript
Source: RNAcentral